RNAcentral lists this ribosomal RNA (505 nucleotides) under uncultured bacterium. RNAcentral describes it as "bacterial SSU rRNA". It matches the Rfam family "Bacterial small subunit ribosomal RNA", at positions 30 to 526 of the family's 1533-position model. The record is from RNAcentral.
AUUGAACGCUGGCGGCAUGCCUUACACAUGCAAGUCGAACGGCAGCACGGGUGCUUGCACCUGGUGGCGAGUGGCGAACGGGUGAGUAAUGCAUCGGAACGUGCCCGAUUGUGGGGGAUAACGCACCGAAAGGUGUGCUAAUACCGCAUAAUCUCUGAGGAGGAAAGCAGGGGAUCUUAGGACCUUGCGCAGUUGGAGCGGCCGAUGUCGGAUUAGCUAGUUGGUGAGGUAACGGCUUACCAAGGCGACGAUCCGUAGCUGGUCUGAGAGGAUGAUCAGCCACACUGGGACUGAGACACGGCCCAGACUCCUACGGGAGGCAGCAGUGGGGAAUUUUGGACAAUGGGGGGAACCCUGAUCCAGCCAUGCCGCGUGAGUGAAGAAGGCCUUCGGGUUGUAAAGCUCUUUCAGCCGGGAAGAAAUUGCACAGGCUAAUACUCUGUGUAGAUGACGGUACCGGACCAAGAAGCACCGGCUAACUACGUGCCAGCCGCCGCCGUAACAC